CAGCAGCCGCGGUAAUACGAGGGGGGCAAGCGUUGUUCGGAUUUAUUGGGCGUAAAGGGUGCGUAGGCGGUUUGGCAAGUCUUGUGUGAAAUCUUCGGGCUCAACCCGAAGCCUGCACGAGAAACUGCCGGGCUUGAGUAUUGGAGAGGUGAGUGGAAUUUCCGGUGUAGCGGUGAAAUGCGUAGAUAUCGGAAGGAACACCUGUGGCGAAAGCGGCUCACUGGACAAUAACUGACGCUGAUGCACGAAAGCUAGGGGAGCAAACAGGAUUAGAUACCCCCGUAGUCCCUGUCUCUUAUAU
RNAcentral lists this ribosomal RNA (301 nucleotides) under uncultured bacterium. RNAcentral describes it as "partial 16S ribosomal RNA". It matches the Rfam family "Bacterial small subunit ribosomal RNA", at positions 509 to 809 of the family's 1533-position model. The record is from RNAcentral.